RNAcentral lists this ribosomal RNA (497 nucleotides) under uncultured bacterium. Its description in RNAcentral is "partial 16S ribosomal RNA". It matches the Rfam family "Bacterial small subunit ribosomal RNA", at positions 28 to 507 of the family's 1533-position model. The record is from RNAcentral.
GAUGAACGCUGGCGGCGUGCCUAAUACAUGCAAGUCGAGCGAACAGAUGAGGAGCUUGCUCCUCUGACGUUAGCGGCGGACGGGUGAGUAACACGAGGAUAACCUACCUAUAAGACUGGGAUAACUUCGGGAAACCGGAGCUAAUACCGGAUAAUAUAUUGAACCGCAUGGUUCAAUAGUGAAAGACGGUUUUGCUGUCACUUAUAGAUGGAUCCGCGCCGCAUUAGCUAGUUGGUAAGGUAACGGCUUACCAAGGCAACGAUGCGUAGCCGACCUGAGAGGGUGAUCGGCCACACUGGAACUGAGACACGGUCCAGACUCCUACGGGAGGCAGCAGUAGGGAAUCUUCCGCAAUGGGCGAAAGCCUGACGGAGCAACGCCGCGUGAGUGAUGAAGGUCUUCGGAUCGUAAAACUCUGUUAUUAGGGAAGAACAAAUGUGUAAGUAACUAUGCACGUCUUGACGGUACCUAAUCAGAAAGCCACGGCUAACUACGUG